CCUACCCAUGAGCAGGAUGAAGCGAAAGUAAAAUUUCGUGGAGGUCCGAACCCACGAGCGUUGAAAAGCUCGGGGAUGACGUGUGGGUAGCGGUGAAAUUCCAAUCGAGCCCGGAGAUAGCUGGUUCGCCCCGAAAUAGCUUUAGGGCUAGCCUCAAGGUGAGAGAUACGGAGGUAGAGCACUGAAUGUCCUAGGGGGUAUUGCACCU
Molecule: ribosomal RNA, 208 nt
Filed under: Clostridioides difficile
Lineage: Bacteria; Bacillati; Bacillota; Clostridia; Peptostreptococcales; Peptostreptococcaceae
Description: partial 23S ribosomal RNA
Rfam family: Bacterial large subunit ribosomal RNA
Source: RNAcentral